RNAcentral lists this ribosomal RNA (393 nucleotides) under uncultured eukaryote. RNAcentral's name for it is "SSU rRNA". It matches the Rfam family "Eukaryotic small subunit ribosomal RNA", at positions 586 to 972 of the family's 1831-position model. The record is from RNAcentral.
AGCCUCUACAAGCGUAUGCAAUAGUUGCUGCGUUUAAAAAGCUCAUAGUUGGAUCUUACGCGGUGCUACGGAUAACAUGUGUGCGGCGAGGCCGUUACUCCCGUAGUACUGCUAAUGAACGCUUUGAAGAAGCAGACUGCCCUUAAUUGUGGCGGUCUGUGGAACAAAGUCAGUAUCCUGAGGAAAUUAGAGUGUUCAAAGCGUCCUUUGGGAUGUGAAUAUUAAAGCAUGGAAUAGAGGAGAAUGACCUGCGUACGUUCGUGGGCUGUAAGCUUGUGCGUGGUAAUGGUUAAAAGGAACAGUCGGGGGCAUUUGUAUUGUUGGGUUAGAGGUGAAAUUCUUGGAUCCCAGCAAGACAAACUACAGCGAAAGCAUUUGCCAAGAAUGUUUUCA